AAUGCAAGCUGUUCUAUCGCUGGCCCGAUCAAAAGGGAAAGAGGAAAGUCCGGGCAACACAGAGCAUCUCGCUUCCUAACGGGAAGAGGCUCAGGACUGAAUGCCUGAGUUAUGGAAAGUGCCGCAGAAAAUAUACCGCCGAUGGCUUUUAAGCACAGGUAAGGUUGAAAACGUGAGGUAAGAGCUCACGAUUUUUCCGGGCGAUCGGAAGAGUGGUAAACCCCGGGAGUUGAAAGACCAAAUAGGCUAACGUAUGUAGGGCUGCUCGUCCGAUGUUAGUGGGUAGGUCGUUAGAGAUAAAUGGUAACAUUUAUAGUAGAUUAAUGGUAGAAUCCUAAUUUAUUGGGAACAGAACCCGGCUUAUAGGCUUGCAUUUUUU
RNAcentral lists this RNase P RNA (379 nucleotides) under Pedobacter hiemivivus. Its description in RNAcentral is "Bacterial RNase P class A". It matches the Rfam family "Bacterial RNase P class A". Rfam says of the family: Ribonuclease P (RNase P) is a ubiquitous endoribonuclease, found in archaea, bacteria and eukarya as well as chloroplasts and mitochondria. Its best characterised activity is the generation of mature 5'-ends of tRNAs by cleaving the 5'-leader elements of precursor-tRNAs. The record is from Rfam by way of RNAcentral. Lineage: Bacteria; Pseudomonadati; Bacteroidota; Sphingobacteriia; Sphingobacteriales; Sphingobacteriaceae.